This 253-nucleotide ribosomal RNA is filed under the name uncultured bacterium. Its description in RNAcentral is "partial 16S ribosomal RNA". It matches the Rfam family "Bacterial small subunit ribosomal RNA", at positions 524 to 776 of the family's 1533-position model. The record is from RNAcentral.
UACAGAGGGUGCGAGCGUUAAUCGGAAUUACUGGGCGUAAAGCGUGCGUAGACGGUUAUUUAAGUCGGGUGUGAAAGCCCCGGGCUCAACCUGGGAAUUGCAUUCGAGACUGAAUAGCUAGGGUACGGUAGAGGGAAGUGGAAUUUCCGGUGUAGCGGUGAAAUGCGUAGAUAUCUGGAGGAACACCGGUGGCGAAGGCGGAUCUCUGGGCCUUACCUGACGCUGAGGCGCGAAAGCUAGGGGAGCGAACAGG